This 23-nucleotide microRNA is filed under the name Caenorhabditis elegans. RNAcentral's name for it is "cel-miR-5552-5p". The record is from miRBase by way of RNAcentral. Lineage: Eukaryota; Metazoa; Nematoda; Chromadorea; Rhabditida; Rhabditidae.
UGUAGUUUGUAGUCUAGCAGACC